UACGUAGGGUGCGAGCGUUGUCCGGAAUUAUUGGGCGUAAAGAGCUUGUAGGUGGUUUGUCGCGUCUGCUGUGAAAAUCCGAGGCUCAACCUCGGACUUGCAGUGGGUACGGGCAGACUAGAGUGUGGUAGGGGAGACUGGAAUUCCUGGUGUAGCGGUGGAAUGCGCAGAUAUCGGGAGGAACACCAGUGGCGAAGGCGGUUGCCUGGAGCUUUGCUGACGCUGAUGCGCGAAAGCGUGGGGAGCGAUCCGG
RNAcentral lists this ribosomal RNA (253 nucleotides) under uncultured bacterium. RNAcentral describes it as "partial 16S ribosomal RNA". It matches the Rfam family "Bacterial small subunit ribosomal RNA", at positions 524 to 776 of the family's 1533-position model. The record is from RNAcentral.